This 1525-nucleotide unclassified non-coding RNA is filed under the name Hevea brasiliensis (rubber tree). The record is from RNAcentral. Lineage: Eukaryota; Viridiplantae; Streptophyta; Magnoliopsida; Malpighiales; Euphorbiaceae.
UGUAAUUUUAACCCUCUCCUUUUUCUUUUUUUUUUUGUUUUUUUAAAGUCUUUUUAUACUCUUUGUUUCAUCGUACAACGCGUUUCCCCGUGUAUUUUCAAUUUUCAGUAUUUAAAAAGGGAAACCCAAACCCCCGAGGCUUUAAUAUGGGAAAAAAAAAAUAAAAAAAGAAUCUCGAUGCCGACUUUAUGACCGAGAAACCGACUCAGCCAAUUUCCCGAUUUUCUCAACCAGCACAGGUGACAAUUUUUUAGCCGGUUUCCUUUCCUUUUCCGGUCGAAAAUCAAACCCUAAUGCGUCCGAAACUUCUUCGGAGCUCCACCCAGCCUUUCGGAGGGAGUCGGAGAACCGAUCCGCUUUCAAGAGUAAAGCGUCUAGGACUGCUUGAUUAUCUAACAUAACCAUCUCCCCCUCGAAGAAACCGGAUGCUGACACGUGGACGAUCUCGGCUAUGUCAGCUUCGCUCCAACCGCCAUCUCUCAAAACUGACCCGAUUUGCACUAUGUACUCAUCCACCCAUUUUGGCAUCUCCGAUCUCGGCAUAUCGAAAAACCGCUCCGGCGACGAUGAAUCUGAUGAUGAAGACGCCGAGUUUCGCCUCCGACGGUCAACUGCUGCGUCGCUCCAGAACUCCACCCAUCUGGGGGUUCUCGCUCCGUUAGCUGUGCCCAUAUCCAAGCUUCUACGUGGAUAAUUUGUUGAAGAACCGGCCGAUUUCUCGCUAACGGAUCUUUGCUUCUUUAGAAGUAUGGGGUCAGACUCGGAGCACCGGAAGAGGGACUCACGGUCGAAAAAAUCAGAUAGAUCCAAACCGCAGCAGAAAAUCCGAUUCUCAUCGACGAAAAAGAUGGGGUUACCAGCCAAAGAAGGUUGACAGGGAAUGUAACAAUGGUUGAAAAUUGGAAUCAAAAGUGGAGCUCUCUUCAGUGCAUUUCUUGCCACCCUCAAUGCCUUUUCCGGGUCGGAUGGUCUGGGACCCCAUGACUUGGACCAGAGGGUGUUGCGUGCGAUUUGAAAUGAGAUAGCAGCGAUAGGAAGAUCAAGCGAGGCACGGAGAUGGAGGCGAGCACCGCCUGAGCGCCAAUCCGGGAAGCCAGGACCAACAGGCAAACCAGCGGAGAGUACGGCGCGAAGAUCGGGAGGGAAAGCGAAGCCAAACUCUGCUUCAGCCCGAGCGAACUCAGCGUCAGAAAGACCCGGCUGAACUUGGAUACCUGAGUUACGUAAAUGGGUUAUAACUUUGUCAGCCAGAGAAGAGAAAGAGACAAGACCGUUACGGACAGGAAGAGAAGAAGCUGUUGAAGGAGCAGCAGCUCGGGCAGAAAGACGGCGAAGGCCAGCUAUAUGAGCCGGAUUGAGACCGGUCAUCCUCCGGUCAACGUCGACCAUUGUGUGAGCCAAAAAAAAAAAAAUCUGCAGGGUUCCUGUAAGUCACUGCACUUACAGUCUCCGGAGGGUGAAAAGAAACUGAAGUUCUCAGAGUUUGAGGCUUCUUUUGCGUAUGCUUUGAUUGCUAGAAAGGGCG